Molecule: ribosomal RNA, 542 nt
Filed under: uncultured bacterium
Lineage: Bacteria
Description: bacterial SSU rRNA
Rfam family: Bacterial small subunit ribosomal RNA
Source: RNAcentral
GAGGAAUAUUGGUCAAUGGGCAAGAGCCUGAACCAGCCAAGUAGCGUGCAGGAUGACGGCCCUAUGGGUUGUAAACUGCUUUUAUGUGGGGAUAAAGUGAGCUACGUGUAGUUUAUUGCAGGUACCACAUGAAUAAGGACCGGCUAAUUCCGUGCCAGCAGCCGCGGUAAUACGGAAGGUCCAGGCGUUAUCCGGAUUUAUUGGGUUUAAAGGGAGCGUAGGCCGUGGAUUAAGCGUGUUGUGAAAUGUAGACGCUCAACGUCUGAAUUGCAGCGCGAACUGGUUCACUUGAGUAUGCACAACGUAGGCGGAAUUCGUCGUGUAGCGGUGAAAUGCUUAGAUAUGACGAAGAACUCCGAUUGCGAAGGCAGCUUACGGGAGCACAACUGACGCUGAAGCUCGAAGGUGCGGGUAUCAAACAGGAUUAGAUACCCUGGUAGUCCGCACAGUAAACGAUGGAUGCCCGUUGUUAGUUCACUUAAGAAUUAGCGACCAAGCGAAAGCAUUAAGCAUCCCACCUGGGGAGUACGCCGGCAACGGUG